GAGGUCUUAGCUUAAUAAAAGUGUCUGUUUUGCAUGCAGAAGAUGUGGGAUAGUAACCCGUAGGUCUUA
RNAcentral lists this transfer RNA (69 nucleotides) under Trachinocephalus myops (snakefish). RNAcentral describes it as "tRNA-Ala". It matches the Rfam family "tRNA". Rfam says of the family: Transfer RNA (tRNA) molecules are approximately 80 nucleotides in length. Their secondary structure includes four short double-helical elements and three loops (D, anti-codon, and T loops). Further hydrogen bonds mediate the characteristic L-shaped molecular structure. tRNAs have two regions of fundamental functional importance: the anti-codon, which is responsible for specific mRNA codon recognition, and the 3' end, to which the tRNAs corresponding amino acid is attached (by aminoacyl-tRNA synthetases). tRNAs cope with the degeneracy of the genetic code in two manners: having more than one tRNA (with a specific anti-codon) for a particular amino acid; and 'wobble' base-pairing, i.e. permitting non-standard base-pairing at the 3rd anti-codon position. The record is from RNAcentral. Lineage: Eukaryota; Metazoa; Chordata; Actinopteri; Aulopiformes; Synodontidae.